This 443-nucleotide ribosomal RNA is filed under the name uncultured bacterium. Its description in RNAcentral is "partial 16S ribosomal RNA". It matches the Rfam family "Bacterial small subunit ribosomal RNA", at positions 338 to 795 of the family's 1533-position model. The record is from RNAcentral.
CCUACGGGAGGCAGCAGUGGGGAAUAUUGGGCAAUGGGCGCAAGCCUGACCCAGCAACGCCGCGUGAAGGAAGAAGGCUUUCGGGUUGUAAACUUCUUUUCUCAGGGACGAAGAAAGUGACGGUACCUGAGGAGUAAGCCACGGCUAACUACGUGACAGCAGCCGCGGUACUCCGUAGGAGGCAAGCGUUAUCCGGAUUUAUUGGGUGUAAAGGGGGUGUAGGCGGGUGUGCAAGUCAGAUGGGAAAACUCAGGGCUCAACCCUGGGCCUGCAUUUGAAACUGUGUUUCUUGAGUGCUGGAGAGGCAAUCGGAAUUCCGUGUGGAGCGGUGAAAUGCGUAGAUAUACGGAGGAACACCAGUGGCGAAGGCGGAUUGCUGGACAGUAACUGACGCUGAGGCGCGAAAGCGUGGGGAGCAAACAGGAUUAGAUACCCGGGUAGUC